GAGUUUGAUCCUGGCUCAGAACGAACGCUGGCGGCAGGCUUAACACAUGCAAGUCGAACGCCCGAGCAAUCGGGAGUGGCAGACGGGUGAGUAACACGUGGGAACAUACCCUUCGGUUCGGAACAACGUUUGGAAACGAACGCUAAUACCGGAUACGGCUUGAGGGCGAAAGAUUCAUCGCCGAAGGAUUGGCCCGCGUUCGAUUAGCUAGAUGGCGGGGUAACGGCCCACCAUGGCGACGAUCGAUAGCUGGUCUGAGAGGAUGGCCAGCCACAUUGGGACUGAGACACGGCCCAAACUCCUACGGGAGGCAGCAGUGGGGAAUAUUGGACAAUGGGCGCAAGCCUGAUCCAGCCAUGCCGCGUGAGUGAUGACGGCCUUAGGGUUGUAAAGCUCUUUCGCACGCGACGAUAAUGACGGUAGCGUGAGAAGAAGCCCCGGCUAACUUCGUGCCAGCAGCCGCGGUAAUACG
This 472-nucleotide ribosomal RNA is filed under the name uncultured eubacterium WR103. RNAcentral's name for it is "bacterial SSU rRNA". It matches the Rfam family "Bacterial small subunit ribosomal RNA", at positions 9 to 527 of the family's 1533-position model. The record is from RNAcentral.